CCCUCAUCUAUUUCUGGGACAGAAGCUCCCUUAGGCUCACACUCGGUCCCUUCAGCCCUGAUUUGGGGUGGGGGCGGGGCUCUACUUUCAUCCUCCACUGUUUCUAUCCCCUCCCAGGGGAAUCCUCAUAUUCCUCAGCCUCAUGGGCUAAGUAGCCUGUGGGGCCACCAAGACGACUCACCAGAGCUGUGUCAACAAUUCAACCAUUCACAACCCUUCCCAUCCCCUUUCUUAUCGCCCCCCACACACCUGGAGGCUGGGAUACAAGGCGAGUGGAUAAAGAGGGUGGUGCCUUCAUCUCCUCUCCUGCUCUAUAGGAAGAGGGGUCCUUGUACCUGAAGGGCUUACCGGUGGCUUUGUGCCUGGUCCCUGGAAUAAGCUUUGGAUAGCUCUGGAUGGGGGUGGAGCUAGAGGAACAACGGAGUCACCAGGCAGGGAACACAGGGAAUGGCCCAUGUCAGGCAGUGUGACCAGGGCUCUAGUGCAGCUCCUGGUCCAAGCUUUGCAGGAAAAAGCCGUUCGUGCACUGCGUUCCGAUCUGAACAGUCCUGUGUAGUGUUCCAGGCAGGGCAACUGGUGCUGGCUCAGGCUCCCUGUCAUCACAGCUGAGAGUGGAACACUGCUGCCGAGGGUUCGCCUGCAAUUCUGGAGGCUGGUUGUUCUCUGAAAUAAAAAAACAAAAAAACA
Molecule: long non-coding RNA, 687 nt
Filed under: Rattus norvegicus (Norway rat)
Lineage: Eukaryota; Metazoa; Chordata; Mammalia; Rodentia; Muridae
Description: long non-coding RNA NONRATT024610
Source: RNAcentral